Molecule: long non-coding RNA, 983 nt
Organism: Helianthus annuus (common sunflower)
Lineage: Eukaryota; Viridiplantae; Streptophyta; Magnoliopsida; Asterales; Asteraceae
Exons: 3
Source: RefSeq, a predicted model, not a curated record
UCUUCUCUCACACAGACACACCCUUCUGCCUCUCUCUCGAUCUCCCUACACUCCGGCAACUGGAGCCGAAGUCCGGCGAGCUCCGGUGACCCCCCUUCUUCACUCCGAUUAAGCACCACCAUCACCAUCACCCUCCUCCUCCCUCUUUCAAGCUCGCACCUGAACAAACCACCUCCACUGGUCUCUUCAGCCAGCGCCCGACACCACUGUUGGUGGCGGCGGCGGCGGCUUAACGACAGCGGCGGCAACAGGUUCCUCUCCCAACAAACCACUCCCACAGCUCGUCUUUCCCUCUCUUCCCGAUACACGACAGCGGCAAACCACGAAGACGUCGCCGGGAACCGCAAGCUUUUGUUUCGGUUAAUCGCUCUCGUUCAUUCUCUUGGAAUUCUCAAUCCUUACUUGUGCGUUACUUUCAAGAAAUCGCAAAGCAAUUUUGUGGUUAACAAACGAAAUAGAAACGAGGUAUACCGACAAAACGAGAUACGUGUUUCGACUUGUGCUCCAGUGACGUUUUCACAACUCCGGCAGGCUGUAGUCUCUCCGGCGUGUUGCCGGUGGUAACGAGUCGAGUCGAGUCCCCGGUGUGAUCUCCGAAUCGUCCUCGCAACUCCGGCAAGUGGUGAGUUCUUCGGCGUGAGCUUCCUUAUCCGGCCAAAACUUGAACUCCGGCGAUCUUCGAAACAGUGAGGAAGGAAUAAAAAGUGCGAGUGGGUUUGAAGAAGGGUGUGGUUUCGAGGUGGUGACAAGGUCCGGUAUUUAUAAGCUAUGGGUCUCGCAAGGAAUAUGGAAACGAUCUCGUAAUUUCGGAAAUGACUCGUGAUUGAUUGGCAAUCAAUCAAGAGAAGGAAAUGAUUGAUCUUGAUUGAAUCUGGUUGUUGACUUUGCUCCGAUCAUGAAAAAGGAAGGUUACGUUGUUGUUGAAAUCGAUUUGGCGGUAUAAUGAAAUGGUUUUGAACUUCUGUUUGUAUAUAAAAUUUAUA